CCCACUGCUAUCGGGAUGGGACUAAGACAUGCUAGUCGAGCGCUCUUAAGCCAUGAAAAGAGCGCGGCGCACAGCUCAGUAACGCGUGGCUAACCUGCCCUUGGGACAGGGACAACCCCGGGAAACUGGGGCUAAUACCUGACAGGCGAAGAAUCCUGGAAUGAAUCUCCACCCAAAAGACGCUUAAAUCACGCAUUAGGCGUUGCCCAAGGAUGGGGCCGCGUCCGAUCAGGUUGUUGGUGAGGUAAUGGCCCACCAAGCCUAUAACCGGUGCGGGCCGUGAGAGCGGGAGCCCGGAGAUGGGCACUGAGACAAGGGCCCAGGCCCUACGGGGCGCAGCAGUCGCGAAAACUUUGCAAUACACGAAAGUGUGACAGGGCCAUCCCGAGUGCCGUCCGCUGAGGAUGGCUUUUACCCAGUCUAGAAAGCUGGGAGAAUAAGGAGAGGGCAAGACUGGUGUCAGCCGCCGCGGUAAUACCAGCUCUCCGAGUGGUGUGGAUGUUUAUUGGGCCUAAAGCAUUCGUAGCCGGCUGGGCAAGUCCCCUGUUAAAUCCACCGAUUCAAUCGUUGGAUUGCGGGGGAUACUGUUCGGCUAGGGGACGAGAGAGGCCGACGGUAUUUCCGGGGUAGGGGUGAAAUCCUAUAAUCCCGGGAAGACCACCAGUGGCGAAGGCUGUCGGCUAGAACGCGCCCGACGGUGAGGGAUGAAAGCUGGGGGAGCGAACCGGAUUAGAUACCCGGGUAGUCCCAGCUGUAAACGAUGCAGGCUAGGUGUUUGGGCGGCCACGUGCCGCUCUAGUGCCGCAGGGAAGCUGUUAAGCCUGCCGCCUGGGGAGUACGGCCGCAAGGCUGAAACUUAA
This 860-nucleotide ribosomal RNA is filed under the name uncultured archaeon. RNAcentral's name for it is "bacterial SSU rRNA". It matches the Rfam family "Archaeal small subunit ribosomal RNA", at positions 23 to 859 of the family's 1478-position model. The record is from RNAcentral.